GCAGAAUCUCGCAAAAUAUAACGCUACAACAGAGAUCUGCCGUACAACUUUCGUAGGCACAUUAUCACGGAGAACCAUGGGCAGGCAGAGGAACAGCAAUCGGAGGAGCAGGGACACCAGACACAGGAGCAGGGUCAGCAGACACAGGACCAGGGGCAGCAAUCGGAGGAGGAGGGACACCAGACACAGGGGCCUCUGACUCCAGCAAAGCGAAAACUUCCAUGCAAUACACCUACUUCCUCAAAAGCGAAGAGCAAUUUCAGUUGUGAAAAGUAGGACUUGGAGGAUGCGGAAAUGGAGGCCAUGACCCAAAAAAAGAAAUUACCCACUGAAAUGAAACGGAAAAGCUUUAAUUUUCAACGAAAAAUAUUCAAUAACAGGCUAGCCAAACUGACGAAUGACCAUUUUAAUGAUGAUGUCUGCUUGUUUACAUUCAAUUUAUUUAACGGAAUUUUAGAGGAUCAAGGAAAGAUGUCUUUCUCAUUAUUUUAAUGUUAUGUUAAUAUAUCGU
Long non-coding RNA from Drosophila willistoni, 511 nucleotides. RefSeq lists it as uncharacterized. The transcript has 3 exons. Lineage: Eukaryota; Metazoa; Arthropoda; Insecta; Diptera; Drosophilidae. The record is from RefSeq and is a predicted model, not a curated record.